AUCACUGGGAAGAUGGAGCCACAAAGCAGGAGAGGCCUAACUGCCAGCACAAGUGCGCCCUCCGGCUCUUUUCCACCUUUAUCUGGAUAGUUCUACAUUUACUCACUAUUGCCUCUGAGACAAGAACCGGGGGUGAAUACGAUGAAGAAGACUGUAACAUGCUGCACUGAAAAUAGGAGAAACCACAAACAUGUAAAGGACAGGGAAAUCCCACGUCGCUGUGUUUGCUGAAUUGGCUAUACAUGUAAGCUGCGGAUGACCAUCCAGAAUGUAUCCUGUUACACAGCUGUACCGUAUUUUAUCUCCUACAUCAAACUUGGAGCCAGACAGGACACCCUUGGGUGGGAUUCCAGGAUUUCCACAGGAGCUGCUCCGUAAUUCUGUGAAAAGAGAUUAAGCCAAUGGCAUAAGCAUUUUUGGAGUUCCGCGCUACCUGCCUACAGCAGCUUCAUCAUGUGCUGAGAGAAACGGACUGAUCGGUAUUCUCAAAGAAAAACAUUAAUUGAGAAUCAUGAAAGCAUAGAGGAUGCAACUGGUCAUGGGAUGUGAACAGCGCCCCUUGGGAAAACUGGACGCCUUUGAUGACCGAGACCAAGCAAACAUGGAAGGCAUAAAAGCCAGGCGGUGAGGAAGCACAGCGGUAGCGCAAGACAUAACACUCUCCCUUGGGAAGCUGCAGCCCCGGAGAUCAACUCUCUUUUGAUG
This is a long non-coding RNA of Pseudophryne corroboree (corroboree frog), 705 nucleotides long. RefSeq lists it as uncharacterized. NCBI's taxonomy places the organism in Eukaryota, Metazoa, Chordata, Amphibia, Anura, Myobatrachidae. The record is from RefSeq and is a predicted model, not a curated record. The transcript is spliced from 4 exons.